AAUCAACGCUGGCGGCGUGCCUCAGACAUGCAAGUCGAACGAUUAAAGCUCUCUUCGGAGAGUGUAUAGAGUGGCGUACGGGAGAGUAACACGUAAGUAAUCUACCCUUGGGUGGGGAAUAACUUAGGGAAACCUAAGCUAAUACCGCAUAAUGCAGCGGCUCCAUAUGGAGACAGUUGUUAAAGCAUUUAUGUGCCUAAGGAGGAGCUUGCGGCAGAUUAGCUAGUUGGUAAGGUAACGGCUUACCAAGGCAACGAUCUGUAGCCGGUCUAAGAGGACGGUCGGUCUCACUGACACUGAAUAACGGGUCAG
This 312-nucleotide ribosomal RNA is filed under the name uncultured bacterium. RNAcentral's name for it is "bacterial SSU rRNA". It matches the Rfam family "Bacterial small subunit ribosomal RNA", at positions 32 to 334 of the family's 1533-position model. The record is from RNAcentral.